UGGUUCAGGCAUGCAAGUCGAACGGUCCCGCAAGGGACAGUGGCAGAAGGGUUAGUAACACGUGGGUAAUCUACCCUCGAGGCGGGGAUAACACUUCGAAAGAAGUGCUAAUACCCGAUGACAUUCCGAUGUCAUAAGAUGUCGGUAUCAAAGGUGGCUCGCAAGGGCUGCCGCUUGAGGAGGAGCCCGCGGCCUAUCAGCUUGUUGGUGAGGUAACGGCUCACCAAGGCUUUUGACGGGUAGCUGGUCUAAGAGGACGAUCAGCAACAUUGGGACUGAGACACUGCCCAGACUCCUACGGGAGGCUGCAGUCGAGGAUCUUUAGCAAUGCCCGAAAGGGUGACUAUGGGACGCCGCGUGCAGGAUGAAGGCCCUUGGGUUGUAAACUGC
RNAcentral lists this ribosomal RNA (390 nucleotides) under uncultured organism. RNAcentral's name for it is "bacterial SSU rRNA". It matches the Rfam family "Bacterial small subunit ribosomal RNA", at positions 45 to 433 of the family's 1533-position model. The record is from RNAcentral.